RNAcentral lists this ribosomal RNA (520 nucleotides) under Pseudoalteromonas sp. HP-R3. RNAcentral describes it as "bacterial SSU rRNA". It matches the Rfam family "Bacterial small subunit ribosomal RNA", at positions 1 to 520 of the family's 1533-position model. The record is from RNAcentral. Lineage: Bacteria; Pseudomonadati; Pseudomonadota; Gammaproteobacteria; Alteromonadales; Pseudoalteromonadaceae.
UGGAGAGUUUGAUCCUGGCUCAGAUUGAACGCUGGCGGCAGGCCUAACACAUGCAAGUCGAGCGGUAACAGAAAGUAGCUUGCUACUUUGCUGACGAGCGGCGGACGGGUGAGUAAUGCUUGGGAACAUGCCUUGAGGUGGGGGACAACAGUUGGAAACGACUGCUAAUACCGCAUAAUGUCUACGGACCAAAGGGGGCUUCGGCUCUCGCCUUUAGAUUGGCCCAAGUGGGAUUAGCUAGUUGGUGAGGUAAUGGCUCACCAAGGCAACGAUCCCUAGCUGGUUUGAGAGGAUGAUCAGCCACACUGGAACUGAGACACGGUCCAGACUCCUACGGGAGGCAGCAGUGGGGAAUAUUGCACAAUGGGCGAAAGCCUGAUGCAGCCAUGCCGCGUGUGUGAAGAAGGCCUUCGGGUUGUAAAGCACUUUCAGUCAGGAGGAAAGGGUGUGAGUUAAUACCUCAYAUCUGUGACGUUACUGACAGAAGAAGCACCGGCUAACUCCGUGCCAGCAGCCGCGG